Molecule: ribosomal RNA, 317 nt
Filed under: Haemaphysalis sp. DQ30
Lineage: Eukaryota; Metazoa; Arthropoda; Arachnida; Ixodida; Ixodidae
Description: partial large subunit ribosomal RNA
Source: RNAcentral
UCUGCUCAAUGAUUUUUUAAAUUGCUGUGGUAUUUUGACUAUACAAAGGUAUUGUAAUAAGACUUUAAUUGAGUGCUAAAAGAAUGGACUUUCAAAAAAAGUCUAUCUUGAAUUCAAAAAUUGAAUUUAUUUUUAUUUGUGAAGAAACAAUAAUUAAAAUUAAUGACAAGAAGACCCUAAGAAUUUUUAAACAUAUUAAAUAAUAUAUUAUUUAAUAUGUUUUUAAUUGGGGCGAUUGAAAAAUAUUAUUAACUUUUUAUUAAAAAGAUCCAUUAUUAAUGAUUUUAUGUAAAAAAUACUCUAGGGAUAACAGCGUA